CCAAUAGCGUAUAUUAAAGUUGUUGCAGUUAAAAAGCUCGUAGUUGAAUUUCGGGGUCUGUCCGUCGGUCGGGCUUCACAGUCCGUACUGGUGUGAUGGGUUCCUACCUUCUGAAUAACCGGCAUGCCAUUCAGUUGGUGCGCCGGGGAAGCAGAGCUAUUACCUUGAAAAAAUUAGAGUGCUUAAAGCAGGCUAGUGCUUGAAUAGAUUAGCAUGGAAUAAUAAAAUAGGACGGCAUGGUUCUAUUUGGUUGGUUUCUAGGAUCACCGUAAUGAUUAAUAGGUAUAGUUGGGGGCAUUAGGAUUCAAUUGUCAGAGGUGAAAUUCUUGGAUUUAUUGAAGACUAACUUCUGCGAAAGCAUUUGCCAAGGAUGUUUUCAUUAAUCAAGAACGAAAGUUAGGGGAUCGAAGACGAUCAGAUACCGUCGUAGUCUUAACCAUAAACUAUGCCGACUAGGGAUCGGACGAUGUUAAUUUUUUAAUGACUCGUUCGGCGCCUUACG
This 502-nucleotide ribosomal RNA is filed under the name uncultured Acaulospora. Its description in RNAcentral is "SSU rRNA". It matches the Rfam family "Eukaryotic small subunit ribosomal RNA", at positions 591 to 1092 of the family's 1831-position model. The record is from RNAcentral. Lineage: Eukaryota; Fungi; Glomeromycota; Glomeromycetes; Diversisporales; Acaulosporaceae.